RNAcentral lists this ribosomal RNA (253 nucleotides) under uncultured bacterium. RNAcentral's name for it is "partial 16S ribosomal RNA". It matches the Rfam family "Bacterial small subunit ribosomal RNA", at positions 524 to 776 of the family's 1533-position model. The record is from RNAcentral.
UACAGAGGUCUCAAGCGUCGUUCGGAUUCAUUGGGCGUAAAGGGUGCGUAGGUGGCGCCGUAAGUCAGGUGUGAAAUCUCGGGGCUCAACCCCGAAACUGCACUUGAUACUGCGGUGCUCGAGUACUGGAGAGGAGAUUGGAAUUUACGGUGUAGCAGUGAAAUGCGUAGAUAUCGUAAGGAAGACCAGUGGCGAAGGCGAAUCUCUGGACAGUUACUGACACUGAGGCACGAAGGCCAGGGGAGCAAACGGG